AACAAACGCUGGCGGCGUGCCUAAUACAUGCAAGUCGAACGAAGCUGUUUUAACUGGUGCUUGCACCGACUUAAACAACUGAGUGGCGAACGGGUGAGUAACACGUGGGUAACCUGCCCCAAAGCGGGGGAUAACAUUUGGAAACAGAUGCUAAUACCGCAUAACCACAGAAACCACAUGGUUUCUGUGUCAAAGAUGGUUUCGGCUAUCACUUUGGGAUGGACCCGCGGCGUAUUAGCUAGUUGGUAAGGUAAUGGCUUACCAAGGCAAUGAUACGUAGCCGAACUGAGAGGUUGAUCGGCCACAUUGGGACUGAGACACGGCCCAAACUCCUACGGGAGGCAGCAGUAGGGAAUCUUCCACAAUGGACGAAAGUCUGAUGGAGCAACGCCACGUGAGUGAAGAAGGUUUUCGGAUCGUAAAACUCUGUUGUCAGAGAAGAACGUAAGCGAGAGUAACUGCUCGUGCAGUGACGGUAUCUGGCCAGAAAGCCACGGCUAACUACGUGCCAGCCGCCGCAGUAA
Molecule: ribosomal RNA, 524 nt
Filed under: uncultured bacterium
Lineage: Bacteria
Description: partial 16S ribosomal RNA
Rfam family: Bacterial small subunit ribosomal RNA
Source: RNAcentral